AUGGGUUUGAUGAAUCACCAUAUCCAGAGAUUCGUCGACACAGCUUGUUGCCAGCUAAUCUUCAGUGUUGAAAGGCAUCAAGCUUCCAUGCGAUGGAUGGCUUUUGCAAACCCGACAUGCGGUGAUGUGUACCAAAUAACUGGAGUUAACCGAUGCAACUCCAAGAAGGAUUGGCUGGUGCUGCCGGCUGGCGUCAAGUUCGAUCCCACGGAUCAGGAGCUGAUCGAGCACCUUGAGGCGAAAGUGAGUGCUGACAGCGCGAGAUCUCACCGUCUCAUCGAUUUGUUCAUACCAACAAUCAACAUCGAGCACGGCAUAUGCUACACCCAUCUUGAGAAACUUCCAGGUAUCACACUGAGUGGCCUAAGCAAGCAGUUCUUCCAGUGCAAUUCCAGGGCGUUCAAAAGGGGCACGUGGACGCGUCGCAAGAUACAGUCCGAGUGCAGCAUGCACGCGAUGUGGCACAAGACCGGCAAUACCUUGCCGGUGAUGGUCAAUGGCCGGCAGACGAGCAGCAAAAAGGUUCUGGUGCUGCACACCAACAAGAACUUCGACCAUUCCCGCAAAGAAAAGAACUUCGACCAGCAGAGGACCAACUGGGUGAUGCACCAGUACCACCUCGGGGACCCGGAGCAAGAGAAGGAGUGGGAGCUGGUCUUUUGCAAGAUUUUCUACCAGACGAACACUAGGGCCAGGACUAAAAAGAUUAUAAGUCGAGCAAGUUUCAAUUGGGCUGUAGACUACCCAGGCUUGGUUUUGUUUUCAACAUGCCUAGCCCAUGACGACAACAGGCACAAAGAUCCAGCAGGUAUCUACUGGCCUCUGGCCCGCCAGCGUUAG
This 840-nucleotide ribosomal RNA is filed under the name Triticum aestivum (bread wheat). Its description in RNAcentral is "partial small subunit ribosomal RNA". Lineage: Eukaryota; Viridiplantae; Streptophyta; Magnoliopsida; Poales; Poaceae. The record is from RNAcentral.